UGGAAGUAAAAAUCGUAACAAGGUCUCCGUUGGUGAACCAGCGGAGGGAUCAUUAUUAGAAGCCGAAAGGCAUCUUAAAACCAUCGCGAACUCGUCCAAGUUGCUUCGGCGGUGCGGAGCGCAUUGCCCGCGGCCUCGCCUCUCCGGAGGUGCCAGGCAGCCGCCGGAGGUACGAAACUCUGUCUCACAGCGGUAUCUCUGAGUAAAAACAAAUAAGUCAAAACUUUCAACAACGGAUCUCUUGGUUCUGGCAUCGAUGAAGAACGCAGCGAAAUGCGAUAAGUAAUGUGAAUUGCAGAAUUCAGUGAAUCAUCGAAUCUUUGAACGCACAUUGCGCCCGCUAGUACUCUAGCGGGCAUGCCCGUUCGAGCGUCAUUUCAACCCUCAAGCCCUGCUUGGUGUUGGGGCCCUACGGCUGCCGUAGGCCCUGAAAGGAAGUGGCGGGCUCGCUGCAACUCCGAGCGUAGUAACUCAUUAUCUCGCUAGGGAGGCGUGGCGGUGCUCCGGCCGUUAAAGACCAAAUCUUUAACCAAGGUGACCUCGGAUCGGGUAGGAAUACCCCCAAUC
RNAcentral lists this ribosomal RNA (567 nucleotides) under fungal endophyte sp. FTJZZJ13. RNAcentral describes it as "eukaryotic LSU rRNA". The stretch from base 222 to 375 matches the Rfam family "5.8S ribosomal RNA". Lineage: Eukaryota; Fungi. The record is from RNAcentral.